RNAcentral lists this ribosomal RNA (208 nucleotides) under uncultured bacterium. RNAcentral describes it as "partial 16S ribosomal RNA". It matches the Rfam family "Bacterial small subunit ribosomal RNA", at positions 29 to 267 of the family's 1533-position model. The record is from RNAcentral.
AGCGAACGCUGGCGGCAGGCUUAACACAUGCAAGUCGAACGGAUCCUUCGGGAUCAGUGGCAGACGGGUGAGUAACACGUGGGAACGUGCCUUUUGGUUCGGAACAACGUCAGGGAAACUUGAGCUAAUACCGGAUGUGCCCUUGGGGAAAGAUUUAUCGCCAUUAGAGCGCCGCGUCUGAUUAGCUAGUUGGUGAGGUAAAGGCUCA